Molecule: ribosomal RNA, 468 nt
Filed under: uncultured bacterium
Lineage: Bacteria
Description: partial 16S ribosomal RNA
Rfam family: Bacterial small subunit ribosomal RNA
Source: RNAcentral
GACGAACGCUGGCGGCGUGCUUAACACAUGCAAGUCGAACGGAAAGGCCCUGCUUUUGUGGGGUGCUCGAGUGGCGAACGGGUGAGUAACACGUGAGUAACCUGCCCUUGACUUUGGGAUAACUUCAGGUAACUGGGGCUAAUACCGGAUAGGAGCUCCUGCUGCAUGGUGGGGGUUGGAAAGUUUCGGCGGUUGGGGAUGGACUCGCGGCUUAUCAGCUUGUUGGUGGGGUAGUGGCUUACCAAGGCUUUGACGGGUAGCCGGCCUGAGAGGGUGACCGGCCACAUUGGGACUGAGAUACGGCCCAGACUCCUACGGGAGGCAGCAGUGGGGAAUAUUGCACGAUGGGCGGAAGCCUGAUGCAGCAACGCCGCGUGCGGGAUGACGGCCUUCGGGUUGUAAACCGCUUUCGCCUGUGACGAAGCGUGAGUGACGGUAAUGGGUAAAGAAGCACCGGCUAACUACGUG